GUGCCAGCCGCCGCGGUAAUACGUAGGUGGCAAGCGUUGUUCGGAAUUAUUGGGCGUAAAGCGCGCGCAGGUGGUUUCUUAAGUCUGAUGUGAAAGCCCACGGCUUAACCGUGGAGGUUCAUUGGAGACUGGGAGACUUGAGUGCAGCAGAGGAAAGUGGAAUUCCACGUGUAGCGGUGAAAUGCGUAGAGAUGUGGAGGAACACCAAUGGCGAAGGCGACUCCCUGGGCUGCAACUGACGCUGAUGCGCGAAA
Molecule: ribosomal RNA, 254 nt
Filed under: uncultured bacterium
Lineage: Bacteria
Description: partial 16S rRNA
Rfam family: Bacterial small subunit ribosomal RNA
Source: RNAcentral